GUCGAGCGAACGGACGAGAAGCUUGCUUCUCUGAUGUUAGCGGCGGACGGGUGAGUAACACGUGGAUAACCUACCUAUAAGACUGGGAUAACUUCGGGAAACCGGAGCUAAUACCGGAUAAUAUUUUGAACCGCAUGGUUCAAAAGUGAGAGACGGUCUUGCUGUCACUUAUAGAUGGAUCCGCGCUGCAUUAGCUAGUUGGUAAGGUAACGGCUUACCAAGGCAACGAUGCAUAGCCGACCUGAGAGGGUGAUCGGCCACACUGGAACUGAGACACGGUCCAGACUCCUACGGGAGGCAGCAGUAGGGAAUCUUCCGCAAUGGGCGAAAGCCUGACGGAGCAACGCCGCGUGAGUGAUGAAGGUCUUCGGAUCGUAAAACUCUGUUAUUAGGGAAGAACAUAUGUGUAAGUAACUGUGCACAUCUUGACGGUACCUAAUCAGAAAGCCACGGCUAACUACGUGCCAGCAGCCGCGGUAAUACGUAGGUGGCAAGCGUUAUCCGGAAUUAUUGGGCGUAAAGCGCGCGUAGGCGGUUCUUUAAGUCUGAUGUGAAAGCCCACGGCUCAACCGUGGAGGGUCAUUGGAAACUGGAAAACUUGAGUGCAGAAGAGGAAAGUGGAAUUCCAUGUGUAGCGGUGAAAUGCGCAGAGAUAUGGAGGAACACCAGUGGCGAAGGCGACUUUCUGGUCUGUAACUGACGCUGAUGUGCGAAA
This 715-nucleotide ribosomal RNA is filed under the name uncultured Staphylococcus sp. RNAcentral describes it as "bacterial SSU rRNA". It matches the Rfam family "Bacterial small subunit ribosomal RNA", at positions 61 to 758 of the family's 1533-position model. The record is from RNAcentral. Lineage: Bacteria; Bacillati; Bacillota; Bacilli; Caryophanales; Staphylococcaceae.